This is a long non-coding RNA of Patella vulgata (common limpet), 312 nucleotides long. RefSeq lists it as uncharacterized. The record is from RefSeq and is a predicted model, not a curated record. Lineage: Eukaryota; Metazoa; Mollusca; Gastropoda; Patellidae. The transcript has 4 exons.
AACUUUCUUAAGAUAUAAAGUUUGAUCAUCAGAUUAAUACCCAAGCAUUUAUUAUUGAAUGUUAUUGGAGCGCCUGUACUUGUACCAAACUGGAUUAUUAUUUUGCUUUUGGUGGUGAUGGGCAGAUCAACACUGUGCAUUUAUUAUUGAAUUUUAUUGGAGCGCCUGUACUUGUACCAAACUGGAUUAUUAUUUUGCUUUUGGUGAUGGGCAGAUCAACACUGUGCAUUUAUUAUUGACUGUUAUUGGAGCUCCUGUAUUUUUUCAAACUGGAUUAUUAUUUUGUUUUUGGUGAUGGGCAGAUCAACACUA